This 1359-nucleotide ribosomal RNA is filed under the name uncultured bacterium. RNAcentral's name for it is "bacterial SSU rRNA". It matches the Rfam family "Bacterial small subunit ribosomal RNA", at positions 28 to 1381 of the family's 1533-position model. The record is from RNAcentral.
GAUGAACGCUAGCUACAGGCUUAACACAUGCAAGUCGAGGGGCAGCAUUUCAGUUUGCUUGCAAACUGGAGAUGGCGACCGGCGCACGGGUGAGUAACACGUAUCCAACCUGCCGAUAACUCGGGGAUAGCCUUUCGAAAGAAAGAUUAAUACCCGAUGGCAUAAUUAGACCGCAUGGUCUUAUUAUUAAAGAAUUUCGGUUAUCGAUGGGGAUGCGUUCCAUUAGGCAGUUGGUGAGGUAACGGCUCACCAAACCUUCGAUGGAUAGGGGUUCUGAGAGGAAGGUCCCCCACAUUGGAACUGAGACACGGUCCAAACUCCUACGGGAGGCAGCAGUGAGGAAUAUUGGUCAAUGGGCGCAGGCCUGAACCAGCCAAGUAGCGUGAAGGAUGACUGCCCUAUGGGUUGUAAACUUCUUUUAUAUGGGAAUAAAGUUUUCCACGUGUGGAAUUUUGUAUGUACCAUAUGAAUAAGGAUCGGCUAACUCCGUGCCAGCAGCCGCGGUAAUACGGAGGAUCCGAGCGUUAUCCGGAUUUAUUGGGUUUAAAGGGAGCGUAGGUGGACAGUUAAGUCAGUUGUGAAAGUUUGCGGCUCAACCGUAAAAUUGCAGUUGAUACUGGCUGUCUUGAGUACAGUAGAGGUGGGCGGAAUUCGUGGUGAAGCGGUGAAAUGCUUAGAUAUCACGAAGAACUCCGAUUGCGAAGGCAGCUCACUGGACUGCAACUGACACUGAUGCUCGAAAGUGUGGGUAUCAAACAGGAUUAGAUACCCUGGUAGUCCACACAGUAAACGAUGAAUACUCGCUGUUUGCGAUAUACAGUAAGCGGCCAAGCGAAAGCAUUAAGUAUUCCACCUGGGGAGUACGCCGGCAACGGUGAAACUCAAAGGAAUUGACGGGGGCCCGCACAAGCGGAGGAACAUGUGGUUUAAUUCGAUGAUACGCGAGGAACCUUACCCGGGCUUAAAUUGCAUUUGAAUAUAUUGGAAACAGUAUAGCCGUAAGGCAAAUGUGAAGGUGCUGCAUGGUUGUCGUCAGCUCGUGCCGUGAGGUGUCGGCUUAAGUGCCAUAACGAGCGCAACCCUUAUCUUUAGUUACUAACAGGUCAUGCUGAGGACUCUAGAGAGACUGCCGUCGUAAGAUGUGAGGAAGGUGGGGAUGACGUCAAAUCAGCACGGCCCUUACGUCCGGGGCUACACACGUGUUACAAUGGGGGGUACAGAAGGCAGCUACCUGGUGACAGGAUGCUAAUCCCAAAAGCCUCUCUCAGUUCGGAUCGAAGUCUGCAACCCGACUUCGUGAAGCUGGAUUCGCUAGUAAUCGCGCAUCAGCCAUGGCGCGGUGAAUACGUUCCCGGGCCU